This 465-nucleotide ribosomal RNA is filed under the name uncultured bacterium. Its description in RNAcentral is "partial 16S ribosomal RNA". It matches the Rfam family "Bacterial small subunit ribosomal RNA", at positions 28 to 507 of the family's 1533-position model. The record is from RNAcentral.
GACGAACGCUGGCGGCGUGCUUAACACAUGCAAGUCGUACGGUAAGGCCCUUUCGGGGGUACACGAGUGGCGAACGGGUGAGUAACACGUGAGUAACCUGCCCACAACUUUGGGAUAACGCUAGGAAACUGGUGCUAAUACUGGAUAUGUGCUCCUGCUGCAUGGUGGGGGUUGGAAAGCUCCGGCGGUUGUGGAUGGACUCGCGGCCUAUCAGCUUGUUGGUGGGGAAGUGGCCUACCAAGGCGGCGACGGGUAGCCGGCCUGAGAGGGUGACCGGCCACAUUGGGACUGAGAUACGGCCCAGACUCCUACGGGAGGCAGCAGUGGGGAAUAUUGCACAAUGGGCGCAAGCCUGAUGCAGCAACGCCGCGUGCGGGAUGACGGCCUUCGGGUUGUAAACCGCUUUCAGCAGGGACGAAGCUUUUUGUGACGGUACCUGCAGAAGAAGCACCGGCUAACUACGUG